CAACAAUUAAGUGACUUGUGGUCUCCCUCUGUGCUCCCCACACCCCAUGGAUUUCAUGGCUGUGAACCAUAGCCUCCCUGGUAGUUAUGUGGCCUAUUGUCUAGAUGGGCCACCCUAAGGAACCUUGGAGAUAGGC
Small nucleolar RNA from Sorex fumeus (smoky shrew), 136 nucleotides. RefSeq annotates it as small nucleolar RNA SNORA70. NCBI's taxonomy places the organism in Eukaryota, Metazoa, Chordata, Mammalia, Eulipotyphla, Soricidae. The transcript has a single exon. The record is from RefSeq and is a predicted model, not a curated record.